GUGCAUAUGAUGGAAAAAUUGUAACCUCCUGAGACUUAUGAUGUCUUCAAAGGAACCGCUGAUGCAC
The sequence is a small nucleolar RNA, 67 nucleotides long. Its record names the gene SNORD42. It matches the Rfam family "Small nucleolar RNA SNORD42". From Rfam's summary of the family: snoRNA U42 is found in intron 3 of the ribosomal protein L23a (RPL23a) gene in humans and is also present in mice. U42 is a member of the C/D class of snoRNA which contain C (UGAUGA) and D (CUGA) box motifs. The record is from Ensembl.